GCAUCAUCAAUUCGCUGGACGUACCACGACUCAUUGCGCCCAAUCUCACACCCGUUGCCCCAUCGCCAAGCCUUCCUCGGCGUCAUCGCCGUCGCCGUCGUCUCGCCGGCGUCGGCCGCUGGGAGGAGAUGGCGUCGUCGCUGGACGCGCCCAACCUCGACGAUUACCUCACCGCGGACUCGCUCCCGCAGGAACCCCCCAGGAGUCUCACCCUGCGCGAUCUGCUGGACAUCUCGCCGGUGCUCACCGAGGCCGCGGGCGCCAUCGUCGAUGAUUCAUUCACACGUUGCUUUAAGUCAAAUUCUCCGGAGCCAUGGAACUGGAACAUCUAUUUGUUCCCAUUAUGGUGCUUGGGAGUAGUCAUAAGAUAUGGACUACUGUUUCCGCUAAGGUUCUUAACACUUAUACUAGGAUGGAUGGCCUUCUUUACUGCCUUUUUUCCCGUGCGUUUCCUAAUGAACGGGAAAAAUAGGCUAAAAAGUAAAAUAGAGAGAAAGCUGGUUGAAAUGAUGUGCAGUGUUUUUGUUGCUUCUUGGACUGGAGUGAUCAAGUACCAUGGACCACGCCCAAGCUCACGACCUUAUCAGGUAUUUGUUGCAAACCAUACAUCGAUGAUAGAUUUUAUUAUUCUGGAGCAGAUGACAGCAUUUGCUGUCAUCAUGCAAAAGCAUCCUGGAUGGGUUGGAUUUAUUCAGAAGACUAUUCUGGAAAGUGUGGGUUGCAUCUGGUUUAACCGUAAUGAUCUCAAGGAUCGUGAAGUAGUUGGAAGAAAGUUACGUGAUCAUGUUCAGCAUCCAGACAACAACCCUCUCUUGAUUUUCCCGGAAGGAACUUGUGUUAAUAAUCAGUACACUGUGAUGUUCAAGAAGGGUGCUUUUGAGCUUGGCUGUGCUGUAUGUCCAAUAGCUAUCAAAUAUAAUAAAAUAUUUGUUGACGCCUUCUGGAAUAGUAAGAAGCAAUCUUUUACAAUGCAUUUGGUUCGUCUUAUGACAUCAUGGGCUGUUGUUUGUGAUGUUUGGUUCUUGGAACCUCAGUAUCUCAGGGAAGGGGAGACAGCGAUAGAAUUUACUGAAAGAGUGAGGGACAUGAUAGCUGCUCGGGCUGGUCUUAAGAAGGUUCCAUGGGAUGGCUAUCUGAAACAUAACCGCCCUAGUCCAAAACAUACUGAGGAAAAGCAGCGCAUGUUUGCUGAAUCUGUGUUGAGGAGACUAGAGGAAAACUAAAUAGCUAUCAAUCAACUCUGGCGCUCCUGUUUGACAGAAUCAGUAGCAUGUGCUUCACAAGAAAGAACUAUUGAAUCGACCUUGCUAUACAUGACACUAGUUGUCCGAUUUCUGUACGACGCGCUAGAUCAAAGCGGUUGAUGCGCUGAACAAAACUGCAGUGGAGCAUCAGAUUUGGGGUCGUACACAAAUCGGACCAUGAAGCAUUGUACGCAUAGUGGUUUUGCUAUUGAAUGGAUGUGCGCCUAUGAUCUUUUAAUAUCUUAUAUGAUCGGUUAGUGUAACACGUAAGCAUUGGUGUUCUUAUCAGUAGAUGUUGUAUUGAUAUUUGACCUCUUGUAGACAGUCAGUCCUGAUCAUUCUUAUAUCACGUGAUUAUUGGUUUGAUAUGCUGUGUUUAAGCGAGAGAAACAACUGGACUGCAUCUCCGAAAAAACAAAUUGGUUAAGAGAGUUAGAGCAUCGGUAUUCGACUAUCCGUAUAGUUAGAUGCUUUGCACAAAGUUAGAAGAAACAAGAGGUACGGCUGCACCUGCACGGCUUGUUUGAAAAGUGCAUAUGGUGAAAGGUUAAGCAUAUGCAUAAAUAGAUGCUUGCACUAAAAUAAAAGAUCGUGCCCUUUCAGACCAUGGUUAACUAUAUUUCGUAUGUUUUGCAUUGGAUAGUUAGUUGUUAAAUAUGUCGUCGUCUUUUAUGUUUUUCAUCAGAUAUUCCAUUGUUAAAUACAGUAUGAUUUGUCUUCUUUUUAUUUUGCAGGACAUUUGGAACCUUUCGAUUCUCACAUGCAUUCACGCUUCAUUACAAAUUUACAAUGAUCACAAAGUUCAUGACAUGUAGACAUCUGGAACCAAAUUUCAGCGCCCUUUGAUGCUCACGUCAUUCUGUUUGCAUUAGAAAGAUUGCAGU
This 2128-nucleotide ribosomal RNA is filed under the name Triticum aestivum (bread wheat). RNAcentral describes it as "partial small subunit ribosomal RNA". The record is from RNAcentral. Lineage: Eukaryota; Viridiplantae; Streptophyta; Magnoliopsida; Poales; Poaceae.